This 108-nucleotide transfer RNA is filed under the name Fusarium langsethiae. It matches the Rfam family "tRNA". Rfam says of the family: Transfer RNA (tRNA) molecules are approximately 80 nucleotides in length. Their secondary structure includes four short double-helical elements and three loops (D, anti-codon, and T loops). The record is from Rfam by way of RNAcentral. Lineage: Eukaryota; Fungi; Ascomycota; Sordariomycetes; Hypocreales; Nectriaceae.
GGGCGUGUGGUCUAGGGGUAUGAUGUUCGCUUCGCAUCUUUGUUCUGUCAUAUCAGACAGGCGAUAUAUCUUUGCGAAAGGUCGAGGGUUCAAUUCCCUCCUCGUCCA